This 406-nucleotide ribosomal RNA is filed under the name uncultured bacterium. Its description in RNAcentral is "partial 16S ribosomal RNA". It matches the Rfam family "Bacterial small subunit ribosomal RNA", at positions 29 to 526 of the family's 1533-position model. The record is from RNAcentral.
AUUGAACGCUGGCGGCAGGCCUAACACAUGCAAGUCGAACGAGUGGCGGACGGGUGAGUAAUGUCUGGGCAACUGCCCGAUGGAGGGGGAUAACUACUGGAAACGGUCGCUAAUACCGCAUACCAUCGGAUGUGCCCAGAUGGGAUUAGCUAGUAGGUGGGGUAACGGCUCACCUAGGCGACGAUCCCUAGCUGGUCUGAGAGGCUGACCAGCCGAACGGGACAUGGGAAACGGUCCAGACUCCUACGGGAGGCAGAAGUGGGGAGUAUGGGACAAUGGGCGAAGGCCUGAAGCAGCCAGGCGGCGUGUAUGAAGAAGGCCGUCGGGUUGUAAAGUACGUUCAGCGAGGAGGCGUUACUCGAAGAAGAAGCAUCGGCUAACUCCGUGCCAGCAGCCGCGGUAAUAC